CGUAGGUGGCAAGCGUUGUCCGGAUUUAUUGGGUUUAAAGGGUGCGUAGGCGGUUUUCUAAGUCAGCAGUGAAAUACGGCAGCUCAACUGUCGAGGUGCUGUUGAUACUGGGGAACUUGAGUACUGAUGAGGUAGGCGGAAUGGACGGUGUAGCGGUGAAAUGCUUAGAGAUCGUCCAGAACACCGAUAGCGAAGGCAGCUUACUAAGGAGUAACUGACGCUGAGGCACGAAAGUGUGGGGGAUCAAACAGGAUUAGAUACCCUGGUAGUCCACACUGUAACGAUGAUUACUCGAUGUGUGCGAUACACGGCACGCGUCUUAGCAAAAGCGAUAAGUAAUCCACCUGGGGAGUACGCCGGCAACGGUG
This 368-nucleotide ribosomal RNA is filed under the name uncultured organism. Its description in RNAcentral is "bacterial SSU rRNA". It matches the Rfam family "Bacterial small subunit ribosomal RNA", at positions 526 to 896 of the family's 1533-position model. The record is from RNAcentral.